AGGUCAAAAUACGCAAUGCGGCUAAAGCAACGGCGUCGUAAGUUCCUGCUUUGUUCGUUGACGAGUAACCAUUAAAGAAUCCAUUGGUGGCCGGUCUUAACUCAGGAUCGAUCAAAGCUAACUCGCCUAAAAUACUAGGAAUCAAUUAUCUACCGUCGGAAUAUGCAGAAGGUAAUAAUUUUAAAAACGGAGAACCCCUGGCACCCCAAUCAUGAUGUCUCACGUUAUUGCAAGUUCCGGAAGGAGUUCUAUACUUGCUCGGUGGACAAGGUCGCCCUGAUCUUGCUGUGCAAGGAGCACCGUUCGAUUCCAGCCUGUUCUGUAACCUAAAAGCAGAGAGAAGAAAAGUGAAAUGUCAAAAUGACGUUUUACGUGAUAUUCGAGAAACUGCUUGCUAACCGGAAUAUAAAAGAAAAAGACGAAAAAAAGGAAGAAAAAGAAA
Vespa mandarinia (Asian giant hornet) is the source of this 442-nucleotide long non-coding RNA. The record is from RefSeq and is a predicted model, not a curated record. Lineage: Eukaryota; Metazoa; Arthropoda; Insecta; Hymenoptera; Vespidae.